UGCAAAGCAUUGUAGCUCUCACACAUUGCUGUUAACAUCUCUGUCAGCUUCUUGUUUUCUUCAUUCACACGGUUCAACUCCUCCACUAAAGCACCAGUCUGCAAAAUAAGAACACCAUCAGAUUAGCUUAUAAAUCGACAGAUUCCCAGAACUUUGGAU
This is a long non-coding RNA of Hibiscus syriacus, 159 nucleotides long. RefSeq lists it as uncharacterized. The transcript has 3 exons. Lineage: Eukaryota; Viridiplantae; Streptophyta; Magnoliopsida; Malvales; Malvaceae. The record is from RefSeq and is a predicted model, not a curated record.